GUCCCCUUCGUCUAGAGGCCUAGGACACCGCCCUUUCACGGCGGCAACAGGGGUUCGAAUCCCGUAGGGGACGCCA
RNAcentral lists this transfer RNA (76 nucleotides) under Plautia stali symbiont. Its description in RNAcentral is "tRNA-Glu (TTC) (tRNA-Glu-TTC-3-1)". It matches the Rfam family "tRNA". Rfam says of the family: Transfer RNA (tRNA) molecules are approximately 80 nucleotides in length. Their secondary structure includes four short double-helical elements and three loops (D, anti-codon, and T loops). The record is from RNAcentral. Lineage: Bacteria; Pseudomonadati; Pseudomonadota; Gammaproteobacteria; Enterobacterales; Enterobacteriaceae.